This 461-nucleotide long non-coding RNA is filed under the name Equus asinus (donkey). Its description in RNAcentral is "lncRNA (ENSEASG00005030725.1)". The record is from RNAcentral. Lineage: Eukaryota; Metazoa; Chordata; Mammalia; Perissodactyla; Equidae.
AUCUUCUUCUUUUUCUUUUUCUGCUUUUUCUCCCCAAAUCCCCCCCUAUACACAGUUGUAUAUUUUCGUUGUGGGUCCUUCUAGUUGUGGCAUGUGGGACGCCGCCUCAACUUGGCCUGACGAGCAGUGUCAUGUCCGCACCCAGGAUCGGAACCAGCAGCAGAGAAAUCCUGCAGCACCGAAGCAUAACCACUCGGCCGCAGGGCGGGCCCUGAAAUAAUUUUUGACAUAACUUUCCCAAAGUCGGGCUCUUAAGCUCUCCAUUACCAAGGAAAAGGAUUUCCACUCAAUUAGAUCACGGAGCAGGGGAUUAUGCAGUUUGAGUCCCAAGAUGUGAAAGACUUGAAGAGACUGUGGAGGGAAAACUAAGUGAAGACGAGAAUGCCUGUGCCAUGACAUGCUAGCACCGUGGUGGUGUCCAUUACGAGCAGUCAAGAUGAGAAAACUAAGGACCAGAAGUG